GGGCAGGGGCAGGGGGCG
Molecule: microRNA, 18 nt
Filed under: Monodelphis domestica (gray short-tailed opossum)
Lineage: Eukaryota; Metazoa; Chordata; Mammalia; Didelphimorphia; Didelphidae
Description: mdo-miR-12296-5p
Source: miRBase by way of RNAcentral